Molecule: ribosomal RNA, 253 nt
Filed under: uncultured bacterium
Lineage: Bacteria
Description: partial 16S ribosomal RNA
Rfam family: Bacterial small subunit ribosomal RNA
Source: RNAcentral
UACGAAGGGGGCUAGCGUUGCUCGGAAUCACUGGGCGUAAAGCGCACGUAGGCGGAUUGCUAAGUCAGGGGUGAAAUCCUGGAGCUCAACUCCAGAACUGCCUUUGAUACUGGCGAUCUCGAGUCCGGGAGAGGUGAGUGGAACUGCGAGUGUAGAGGUGAAAUUCGUAGAUAUUCGGAAGAACACCAGUGGCGAAGGCGACUCACUGGACGAUUGUUGACGCUGAGGUGCGAAAGCGUGGGGAGCAAACAGG